UUAGGAAUUUUGGGCAAUGGGCGCAAGCCUGACCCAGCAACGCCGCGUGGGUGAUGAAGGCCUUCGGGUCGUAAAGCCCUUUUCCCAGGGAAGAUGGUGACGGUACCUGGGGAAUCAGCCCCGGCUAACUACGUGCCAGCAGCCGCGGUAAUACGUAGGGGGCAAGCGUUGUCCGGAUUUAUUGGGCGUAAAGCGCUCGCAGGCGGCUUGAUGCGUCGUGCGUGAAACACCCCGGCUCAACUGGGGAGGGUCGUGCGAUACGGUCAGGCUGGAGGCCAGUAGGGGGAUGCGGAAUUCCGGGUGUAGUGGUGGAAUGCGUAGAGAUCCGGAGGAACACCAGCGGCGAAGGCGGCAUCCUGGACUGGUACUGACGCUCAUGAGCGAAAGCGUGGGGAGCGAUCC
Molecule: ribosomal RNA, 402 nt
Filed under: uncultured bacterium
Lineage: Bacteria
Description: partial 16S ribosomal RNA
Rfam family: Bacterial small subunit ribosomal RNA
Source: RNAcentral